CAGCAGCAGCAGCAGCAGCAGCACAGCAGCAAACAACACAAUCCUUUCGAUCAGCGAGCAACACAGUAGUAGGAGCGAACCGCACUGAGCUCCACGGAGAAAGGAAUAAACUCAUGGGAAGAGGAGACCAAAGGGACUACCGGUUUUUCACCUUGAUUGUUUGGCUGAAUAAAAACCUGAACAAAGAGUGAAAUCCCAGUCUGGUCAAGUCAUUCCUUUUCAAGUGUGGAAACCCAUGAUGUUAAAAUACACUUGCCAG
Syngnathus acus (greater pipefish) is the source of this 259-nucleotide long non-coding RNA. RefSeq lists it as uncharacterized. The transcript is spliced from 2 exons. The record is from RefSeq and is a predicted model, not a curated record. NCBI's taxonomy places the organism in Eukaryota, Metazoa, Chordata, Actinopteri, Syngnathiformes, Syngnathidae.